AAGAUUUUAAUUGAAUGCUAAAAGAAUGGAAAUUUAAAAAAAAACUUUUUUAAAAAUAAAAAUUGAAUUUUUUUUAAUUUGUGCAAAAACAAUUAUUAUUAUUAAAGACAAGAAGACCCUAAGAAUUUAUGAUUUUGUAAUUAGAAUUUUUUUCAAAAAAUCUUGAUUGGGGCGAUCAAAAAAUAUUAAUAACUUUUUAAAUUUAAAUUGAUCUAUUAUUAAUAAACUAAUGAAUUAAAUACUCUAGGGAUAACAGCGUAAUAAUUUUUGAUAGAUCUUAUUGACAAAAUAGUUUGCGACCUCGAUGUUGGAUUAGGAUCCUUUUUUAAUGAAAAAGUUAAAAAAAGAAGUUUGUUCAACUUUUAAAUUCCUACUU
RNAcentral lists this ribosomal RNA (376 nucleotides) under Hyalomma anatolicum. RNAcentral's name for it is "partial large subunit ribosomal RNA". Lineage: Eukaryota; Metazoa; Arthropoda; Arachnida; Ixodida; Ixodidae. The record is from RNAcentral.